GUGUAUAUGGAAGAUGGACCUA
This 22-nucleotide non-coding RNA is filed under the name Arabidopsis thaliana (thale cress). Lineage: Eukaryota; Viridiplantae; Streptophyta; Magnoliopsida; Brassicales; Brassicaceae. The record is from RNAcentral.